This is a long non-coding RNA of Episyrphus balteatus (marmalade hoverfly), 590 nucleotides long. RefSeq lists it as uncharacterized. The transcript has 2 exons. NCBI's taxonomy places the organism in Eukaryota, Metazoa, Arthropoda, Insecta, Diptera, Syrphidae. The record is from RefSeq and is a predicted model, not a curated record.
CAAAAUCAAGACUUCAGGUUUUGCAAAACCGGGCUAGGCGAUCUUUGCUUAAGUGCAAUAUUUACACAAAAACUGCAUUUAUGUUGGAAGCAUUACAAAUUACAAUGGUUAAAUCCGGUACCUGGCAGAAAAUGUAUAUGUCAAUGAAGUGCAACCCUACAAUUUGCAAACGGCAACCGAUUUUAGACUAGAAAAAUAAAAUCUUACCGGCACUCAAAACUUCAUCAUGUACCGAGGAUUGCAGAUUUAUAACCAAUUACCAACAUACAUAAAAAAUGAAACAAAUUUGUACACUUUUAAAAAACUUGUAACAGAACUUGUAAAAACUGAACAAUUUUUUUGCUAACUUAUUUAUAAUUCUUUUGCGGCGUUGGGAUAUGAAAAUCCACUUUUUGAAAAAAAAAAAAAGGAUUAACAAGUAGCACCAUCUGAUGCUCAUUAUUGUAAACCAAUUUUGCUAUGGUAUGAACCAACUAAGUGAAUUUUUGUGAGUGAGAAGUAUACCUAACUUUAAUCGCGUACGUUCUUUUUUUUUACUUCAAAAGAUCAAUUAUUUUGAACCGAUAUAAAAAAAAAUAUGUACUAGCCUU